Delphinapterus leucas (beluga whale) is the source of this 1239-nucleotide RNA transcript. It is a transcript of the gene named ER membrane protein complex subunit 10, with no coding region annotated. NCBI's taxonomy places the organism in Eukaryota, Metazoa, Chordata, Mammalia, Artiodactyla, Monodontidae. The record is from RefSeq and is a predicted model, not a curated record.
UCCGCGGCGCCCGGCUCACUCCAGCCCCUUGGCUGGUGGGACGGGUCCGAAAUGGCCGCGCCCGGCGCUGGGGCGACUCGGCUGCUCCUGCUCUUGCUGAUGGCGGCAGCAGCCCCCAGCCGGGCGCGGGGUAGUGGUUGCCGGUCCGGGGCCGCUGUGCGGGGGGCGGGGGCGGAAAGUCGAGAGGGUGAGGGCUGCGGCGCCGUGGGGCUGCUGCUGGAGCACUCAUUUGAGAUCGGUGAUAGUGCCCACUUCCGGAAGCGGGGCUCGCUGCUCUGGAACCAGCAAGAUGGCACCUUGUCUUUGUCGCAGCGGCAGCUCAGUGAGGAGGAGCGGGGCCAGCUCCGGGAUGUGGCGGCGCUGAACGGCCUGUACCGUGUCCGGAUUCCACGGCGGCCUGGGGCCCCUGACGGCCCAGAAGCCGGUGGCUACGUCUCCUCCUUUGUCCCCGCGUGCUCCCUGGUAGAGUCGCACCUCUCGGACCAGCUGACCCUGCACGUGGACGUGGCCGGCAACGUGGUGGGGGUGUCGGUGGUGACAUACCCUGGGGGCUGCCGGGGCCAUGAGGUGGAGGACGUGGACCUGGAGCUGUUCAACACCUCAGUGCAGCUGCAGCCGCCGGUCCCGGCGCCAGGGCCCGAGACAGCAGCCUUCAUCGAGCGCUUGGAGAUGGAGCAGGCCCAGAAGGCCAAGAACCCCCAGGAGCAGAAGUCCUUUUUCGCGAAAUAUUGGAUGUACAUCAUUCCCGUGGUCCUGUUCCUCAUGAUGUCGGGAGCACCGGACGCCGGGGGCCAGGGCGGGGGCGGCGGCGGCGGCGGAGGCGGUGGCCGGUGAGGGGCCCAGGGUCCGUGAGUGCCCCGUCCUCUUUCGCUCAGCGGACGCCCUUCCUGCCCAGCGUGCUCGUGUCCUUGGUCAUCACGGAAGGAUUUGCCGGCCCCUCCUGUCUCCCCGUCGCAUGAGGGUAAACGUUUUGGAAAGUUACAACUUGCAGCAACCCAGUGCAACUGUUGACUUGGCUAAGAGGCGGUCAGGAUGCACCGGCACUGCUGAAUUCCCCGGUCACUGUGUGUGCUGUUCAGAAACACCAAACAGUGGCCGCCGUUGGCAUGGUAACAGCUGCGUCAGGCUCCGCGGUGUCUGUAUAGCAGUUUAUUAAACUGUCCCCCAAACGUUCAACGUUCAGCUUGCCUCCUGCUUUAUGUGGUUAUAAAUAGCGCAACAUCGCGGGUCUGUCGCUGA